AUUGAGCGCUGGCGGCAUGCCUUACACAUGCAAGUCGAACGGUAACGCGGGGCAACCUGGCGACGAGUGGCGAACGGGCGAGUAAUGUAUCGGAACGUGCCCAGUUGUGGGGGAUAACUGCUCGAAAGAGCAGCUAAUACCGCAUACGACCUGAGGGUGAAAGCGGGGGAUCGCAAGACCUCGCGCAGUUGGAGCGGCCGAUAUCAGAUUAGGUAGUUGGUGGGGUAAAGGCUCACCAAGCCAACGAUCUGUAGCUGGUCUGAGAGGACGACCAGCCACACUGGGACUGAGACACGGCCCAGACUCCUACGGGAGGCAGCAGUGGGGAAUUUUGGACAAUGGGGGCAACCCUGAUCCAGCCAUGCCGCGUGCGGGAAGAAGGCCUUCAGGUUGUAAACCGCUUUUGUCAGGGAAGAAAGGACUCCUGUUAAUACCGGGGGUUCAUGACGGUACCUGAAGAAUAAGCACCGGCUAACUACGUGCCAGCAGCCGCCGCCG
Molecule: ribosomal RNA, 498 nt
Filed under: uncultured bacterium
Lineage: Bacteria
Description: partial 16S ribosomal RNA
Rfam family: Bacterial small subunit ribosomal RNA
Source: RNAcentral